This 494-nucleotide ribosomal RNA is filed under the name uncultured bacterium. RNAcentral describes it as "bacterial SSU rRNA". It matches the Rfam family "Bacterial small subunit ribosomal RNA", at positions 37 to 507 of the family's 1533-position model. The record is from RNAcentral.
GAAGAACGCGUGGCGGCACGCCUCAUACAUGCAAGUCGAGCGCGAAACCACCUCGGGUGAUGUAGAGCGGCGAACGGGUGAGUAACAGGUGGGUAAUCUGCCCGUUUGGCGGGGGACAACAGCGUGGAAACGGCUGCUAAUACCGCAUGUGAUUGUGGACUUAUGGUCUGCAAGGAAAGGCGCCUCAAAGCGCCACCAAAGGAUGAGCCCGCCCCCCCACUUAGCUAGUUGGUGAGAUAACAGCUCACCAAGGCAUCGAUGGGUAGCCGAGCUGAGAGGUUGAUCGGCCACACUGGAACUGAGACACGGUCCAGACACCUACGGGUGGCAGCAGUAGGGAAUAUUGCGCAAUGGGCGAAAGCCUGACGCAGCGAUGCCGCGUGAGUGACGAAGGUCUUAGGAUUGUAAAGCUCUUUUCUGAGGGAAGAAUAGGUCUGGUAGGAAAUGACUGGAUUCUGACGGUACCUCAGGAAUAAGGAACGGCUAACUCCGUG